This 306-nucleotide ribosomal RNA is filed under the name uncultured bacterium. RNAcentral describes it as "bacterial SSU rRNA". It matches the Rfam family "Bacterial small subunit ribosomal RNA", at positions 28 to 334 of the family's 1533-position model. The record is from RNAcentral.
GACGAACGCUGGCGGCGUGCUUAACACAUGCAAGUCGAACGCUGAAGCCCAGCUUGCUGGGUGGAUGAGUGGCGAACGGGUGAGUAACACGUGAGUAACCUGCCCUUCACUUCGGGAUAACUCCGGGAAACCGGUGCUAAUACCGGAUAUGAUUCCUGCCUGCAUGGGUGGGGAUGGAAAGAUUUAUCGGUGGUGGAUGGACUCGCGGCCUAUCAGCUCGUUGGUGGGGUAAUGGCCUACCAAGGCGACGACGGGUAGCCGGCCUGAGAGGGUGACCGGCCACACUGGGACUGAGACACGGCCCAG